UACAGAGGGUGCAAACGUUGUUCGGAAUCACUGGGCAUAAAGCGUACGUAGGCGGCCCCGUAAGUGUCGGAUGAAAUCCCACGGCUUACCCGUGGAACGGUCCGGCAUACUGCGGGGCUAGAGGAUGGUAGAGGAGAGCGGAACUCUUGGUGGAGCGGUGAAAUGCGUAGAUAUCAAGAAGAACACUUAGGGCGUAGGCAAGACUCUGGACAAAUGCUGACGCUCAUGCACGAAAGCUAGGGUAGCGAACGGG
Molecule: ribosomal RNA, 253 nt
Filed under: uncultured bacterium
Lineage: Bacteria
Description: partial 16S ribosomal RNA
Rfam family: Bacterial small subunit ribosomal RNA
Source: RNAcentral